GCGGCUCCAGCUCCCCAGAUGCACCGGCUCCCGAAAACGAAGCUGAUCCAUAGGUUUUUAGGUCUCUCUUGGAUUGACUCAAGACGGAGGUGCCCCAUGUCUUUCGUAAAGCCAAUCAGUGUGUGGACGGUUUAGCUAGUUUAUCUAGUUCUAGUAGUCAUUUAGUUGUAAUUCAAUCUUUCCCUAAUUGCCUUGAGCAGAUGUAGUUGGAUUAUGCUAGGGAAAUUUUAUUCCCCAGGACUCGGUUUUAUAGUUUGUAUCUGUUCCAGUUAAAUCAAAAGAAAAAUUGGAGUAUUCAGAAAAAGGCUAUAUAUUUCUUGAUGUAUAAUCAAAGGGAGGUGUUGGGUUUUGUUUCUCAAACUUC
Molecule: long non-coding RNA, 364 nt
Organism: Rhododendron vialii
Lineage: Eukaryota; Viridiplantae; Streptophyta; Magnoliopsida; Ericales; Ericaceae
Exons: 2
Source: RefSeq, a predicted model, not a curated record